Molecule: non-coding RNA, 1930 nt
Organism: Nicotiana tabacum (common tobacco)
Lineage: Eukaryota; Viridiplantae; Streptophyta; Magnoliopsida; Solanales; Solanaceae
Source: RefSeq, a predicted model, not a curated record
UUGAAAGAACAGAGGAAACUUGAUAUAUAUGCUCUCUGAUUUAACAUUGUCGAGUACUGCAUGGAUUUAUAGUUCUCAUCUUCUGUUGAUUAAUUUGUUCAAUGGACCUGAGACUUGCAUUUAGGAGCAAAAUAUUUUAUGUACUGCUGAGAGUCCCAACAUUGAAACCGGUUGACAGUUGAAUAACACUUUGGUGCCAGUCUCGCUUCAUGAGAACUUGAAUUAGUCUAUGUAGAAGAUUGGUUUUGCUUACGUUUAUUUGUGCGGAUCAUGCAUAAAACUCUGGGUUUAGAUCUGGUUCUCUAUCCGUGAAGUUUCAGUUGAAGAUAUUUAUCCAUGCAAAAGGCAAUACCUGGUGUGCUGUAUUUGCUUUUAUUCCUAUUACAUGUGGAAUUUUUCCCUCAAACAACAGCACAUAGAUAUUGAACAAUCCAAUGAUAGCCGCCUUUAUCUGAACAGAAAGAAAUUUGAUUAUGGCCACACUGCCCACCUUUUUGAAAGUCAAAUUGCUUGUUGUGAGCCACAAUUGCUUUAUGGACACACUAGCCUCGGGGAUCUCUCGGUUAUAAAAAAAAAUUGGACUACUAGGUACAUGUUAGAUAGUCAUAUUGACCAUUAUUUUCAAUCAGAAGUUAUUAUUUACAGUUCUUCUAUUUUUUGGGGUUGAAAUGCUAAAUGAACAGCAAGAAAUGGAAGCAAUUGAUACAAUCAAGAGGCCGCUCUUUCAUAUUUUCAACUUCUACCCCGGUGCCUGUAAUUGCUGCUGCCCAUGGUAAAUCGACUUAUCAGAAUGGAAAAUUCAGUUACUGCUCUUAUUUGAGGCCAUUUUAUAGAUGACGGUAUUUGUUUUUGUAUCUCAUGAUCUCAUCUAUUAGCGGAGAAGUGGAGAGUUUCUCCUCCGUUCCUUCCUGCCUUUUCCUUCCUUCUUUUUCACUUAAAUAAUGGUGGUAUCUGUCCGGUUUGCAUGCACCUCAACUAUCUUGUCGUACCUUAAUCCUUCCACAAGUACUGAGUAACUCUUCCCGCCAAAUCUUAGAUAGAAGAGAAGAAAUUACCCUUUUUUGUCUCUGGUGUAAUUCGAACCCUGGUCUCUCAUGGUCUUCGUUCCAUCUUCAUCGACUGAUAGGCUGCAAGAAAUGGAUAGCCUUAUCUGGCACUUUACGUGAAAUGUUGUCUUUCUCAUUCCCAUAUUUAUGGGCAAUUUUUUCCUUAUCCUAGAUGGAAAAAGUGCAAACAAAAUGUGGCCUAUUAAAAAUAAGUGUGAGCUGGAAAACUGAACCAUGUUAGGAUGGAGACUGGACAUGAUUUCUGAACUGCGAGCUUAUUGUGGCUUACUUAUACAUUGUUAAUGAUGUAACAUAUGUAGCUGCUGUUGUUGUGGCAAAAAAGGAGAUGUGGCGUAGAAGAGCUAUUUGGAAUAGGGUGCAAGGUUUCCGUGAUUUAACAGGAAUCCCCAUUACAAGUCCUAUCAUCUCCCUUAUUGUGUGAAAUGAAGCAACGGCUCUGCAAUCUAGCAGACAUCUUUUGCAACUUGGCUUUCACAUAACUGCAAUAAGACCGCCAACAGUGGCUCCUAGCUCAUGCAGGUUAAGGAUAACUUUGAGUGCAGCUCACACAUUGGAUGAUAUAAGAAAGCUCAUAGCGGCGCUGUCUCAAUGUGUCAGCUUCAGUGAGAUCGGAUUCUGCUGCACAAGCUGGAAUGCCAGACUCUAGUUAUAUUCAUUUGCAUUUGUAGAAGAGUGAAUUUUAAUGAAAACGAUGCCUUCUUCAGUAAGUGAAGACAUCUGCACAAGAGUGACUUAUAAUGUUCUUAGCAUUCAAUACUAAUUGAGCAGGUCUUCUUUUCGUACAGUAAAUACGAGCCGCAAUUAAUGAAAACGAUGCCUUCUUCAGUAAGUGAAGUCGUGCAUUAUUUACAUGGUUUUUGCCC